AAAUCAGAGGCGACUUCCUCACACCCAGAUGUUGUUUUCGCUUAAAAGAAAGUCAGCUACAAAAUCAGUAGCAAACAAUUUGCAUUCUUUUUUUUCUGAGUUCAGAAGGAAAAACGACGCUCUCACUUUUACGGAUAAAAAAACGCAACCGUCCAUUCCCUGGAGGGGGGUCUGCUGUCUGCAAUGGAACAUGACGAAUAAUUUCUUGCAAACAAGAAAAUGGUGAGUUGUCAAAUUCUGCUUCUGCUGCCAAAUGCGUUCAAUUCCAUGCCAUUGACGAUCAAAUCUGGUUAGGAGCCUUUUUCAAAACGAACUGAAUAUCCGAUCCUUGUGCCACUGCCAGCCAGGCGUGUGCUAGGAAGAGAAAGAACUGACUUUCACUGAUUCGGGAUGUUUUUAGCCCAAUCUCUCUCCGUGUGGUGCUGUAGCAUUGCAUGCCGUUAGAUCCGCCCAAACAUCUGUCCGUCUAACCAUUGGCGCAUCCAUCAGUGUCACACUGGCUGCACGUUGCAACCACAAUACCUCAGACAUAACAGAGACUGCGAGGUUCAAUACCAAUCUUUAGAAGGCUGUACAACUUCGCAUCAGGCUGUGCGUCUAAAAAUGCAUCGGAUUUUAAUUUUAGCCACUGAAAUUAACCUGGAUCAUCAGACAUAGCAAUGGAGACUAAAUGCAAACAUUUAAGUCACUGCUUCAAAAUUUAAAUGGAUAAGCACCACGCCACACACGUAUAAGCAUAACAAGUCAAAGAAAGAGACUGACUCUGAACAGUAACCUUUUGAAUAUUUUCAAAAGGAAUACAACCUACAAAAAUAAUUUAAAGAAAAAAACAGACACAAAAUGUGAAAUGGCAUAUCUUAUCCUGAAGAAAAAGGGUCUUCCUUAAGAUAUUUAAAAAAAAAAAAAAAAAAGAUACAUUUCUUUGGCAAUGCAGUAUUAUCUUCUGUGCUACACUACUCACAAAUUCGAGAUUAAACGCGUUCAGAGCACCACACUUUGUAAUAUGUAACAGAUACUGAGCUCACAACUCACCACUUUCUCUAGCAACAUUAACAUUGGUACCUCACCGUCAAAGAUACGCCGGUAGCCAUACAUCUCAGCAAUGUACGUUUCUGUGUUGUUUUAUUGAAAUUUUUUUGUAGAAACUGCGAUAUUAAUUUCUAUUGUCAUACAAUGCUAAACAGUAUAUUUGCCAUGACACAUUAUGCAUUUGUUAAAGCUGUAAAUUAGCUCCAAGCAAAGAAAACCUUUUGUUUUUUGGUAUUUCAAUCCUUUGCAUUGUUGUGUAAUUUCAGAUGUUUAAUACUAAAAGUUAAAGAGGGAAUUCAUUACAUUUUUAUUAAAUACUUUUUUUUUUGUUAGUUUCUUUUGCAAUAUGAGACCAACAUGUUCAAGACUGCCAAAUACCUUAUUUGACUAAUUUGUUUCAGAUAUGGUAAAUAAUUUGAAUUUGAUGCAAAUAAAUGACCUUAAAAAAGUGAACAGUUUUACAACGUAGAUGGACUUUACCAGUGGCGUUUGUGGGAUAGAGUAUUCUAUGAUUCAGAUAAUAUUGCAAUGUAUUAUCAUAUAGUUUCCGUAAAAUACAUUUCAAAAUCAUCCCGUUACAGCAUACCACAGCCAGCUUCAUGUUUCUUAAAUUAAAUAAAACAUUUUCUUUUAAAAUUGCUUUUUAAAAAAAAAAAAAAAAAAAAAAAGACUAUCGCUGCUUCUUUCAA
This is a long non-coding RNA of Acipenser ruthenus (sterlet), 1718 nucleotides long. RefSeq lists it as uncharacterized. NCBI's taxonomy places the organism in Eukaryota, Metazoa, Chordata, Actinopteri, Acipenseriformes, Acipenseridae. The transcript is spliced from 2 exons. The record is from RefSeq and is a predicted model, not a curated record.